This 712-nucleotide ribosomal RNA is filed under the name uncultured bacterium. Its description in RNAcentral is "partial 16S ribosomal RNA". It matches the Rfam family "Bacterial small subunit ribosomal RNA", at positions 1 to 706 of the family's 1533-position model. The record is from RNAcentral.
GGCCGCGGGAAUUCGAUUAGAGUUUGAUCAUGGCUCAGGCUGUAACGCUGGCGGCGUGCUUAACACAUGCAAGUCGAACGAAGCGAGAACUAAAGCGCAAGCAGAGGUUCUUGACUGAGUGGCGGACGGGUGAGUAACGCGUGGAUAACCUGCCUUUCACAGGGGGAUAACAGCUGGAAACGGUUGCUAAUACCGCAUGAGCCUCUUUUGUCGCAUGACGGGAGAGGGAAAGAGAAAUCGGUGAGAGAUGGAUCCGCGUCCGAUUAGCUAGUUGGAGGGGUAACAGCCCACCAAGGCGACGAUCGGUAGCCGACCUGAGAGGGUGGACGGCCACAUUGGGACUGAGACACGGCCCAAACUCCUACGGGAGGCAGCAGUGGGGAAUAUUGCACAAUGGGGGAAACCCUGAUGCAGCAACGCCGCGUGAGUGAGGAAGUAUUUCGGUAUGUAAAGCUCUAUCAGCAGGGAAUAGAAAAGAAGGUACCUGAAAAAGAAGCCCCGGCUAACUACGUGCCAGCAGCCGCGGUAAUACGUAGGGGGCAAGCGUUAUCCGGAUUUACUGGGUGUAAAGGGAGCGUAGACGGAAAGGCAAGUCAGAAGUGAAAACCCAAGGCUCAACCAUGGGACUGCUUUUGAAACUGUCAAACUAGAGUACGGGAGAGGUAAGAGGAAUUCCUAGUGUAGCGGUGAAAUGCGUAGAUAUUAGGAGGAA